This 460-nucleotide ribosomal RNA is filed under the name uncultured bacterium. RNAcentral describes it as "partial 16S ribosomal RNA". It matches the Rfam family "Bacterial small subunit ribosomal RNA", at positions 338 to 795 of the family's 1533-position model. The record is from RNAcentral.
CCUACGUGUGGCAGCAGUGAGGAAUAUUGGUCAAUGGGCGGUAGCCUGAACCAGCCAAGCCGCGUGAAGGAUGAAGGCGCCAUGGGUCGUAAACUUCUUUUGUCGGGGAACAAAGGGCGUCACGCGUAGCGUUGUGCAUGUACCCUAAGAAAAAGCAUCUGCUAACUCCGUGCCAGCAGCCGCGUUAAUACGGAGGAUUCGAGCGUUAUCCGGAUUUAUUGGGUUUAAAGGGUGCGUAGGUGGUUAAUUAAGUCAGCGGUGAAAGUUGGUGGCUCAACCAUAAAAUUGCAGUUGAUACUGGUAGACUUGAGUAUAGUAGAGGUAGGCGGAAUGCGUGGUGUAGCGGUGAAAUGCAUAGAUAUCACGCAGAACUCCGAUUGCGAAGGCAGCUUACUAAACUAUAACUGACACUGAAGCACGAAAGCGUGGGGAUCAAACAGGAUUAGAUACCCUUGUAGUC